RNAcentral lists this unclassified non-coding RNA (234 nucleotides) under uncultured Gemmatimonadaceae bacterium. Its description in RNAcentral is "contains 16S-23S intergenic spacer region". It matches the Rfam family "Bacterial small subunit ribosomal RNA", at positions 976 to 1198 of the family's 1533-position model. The record is from RNAcentral. Lineage: Bacteria; Pseudomonadati; Gemmatimonadota; Gemmatimonadia; Gemmatimonadales; Gemmatimonadaceae.
UGGGCUUGACAUGCACGGGAAACCUGGUGGAAACACCGGGCCCUCUUCGGAGUCCGUGCACAGGUGCUGCAUGGCUGUCGUCAGCUCGUGUCGUGAGAUGUUGGGUUAAGUCCCGCAACGAGCGCAACCCCCGCGUCCAGUUGCCAGCGGCGGCUGAAUAAGCCGGCCGGGGACUCUGGAGGGACUGCCGGUGCCAAACCGGAGGAAGGUGGGGAUGACGUGAGCCUAUCGAGA